Molecule: ribosomal RNA, 429 nt
Filed under: Pseudomonadota bacterium
Lineage: Bacteria; Pseudomonadati; Pseudomonadota
Description: Proteobacteria bacterium partial 16S ribosomal RNA
Rfam family: Bacterial small subunit ribosomal RNA
Source: RNAcentral
UGGGGAAUAUUGGACAAUGGGCGAAAGCCUGAUCCAGCCAUGCCGCGUGUGUGAAGAAGGUCUUCGGAUUGUAAAGCACUUUAAGUUGGGAGGAAGGGCAGUAAGCGAAUACCUUGCUGUUUUGACGUUACCGACAGAAUAAGCACCGGCUAACUCUGUGCCAGCAGCCGCGGUAAUACAGAGGGUGCAAGCGUUAAUCGGAAUUACUGGGCGUAAAGCGCGCGUAGGUGGUUCGUUAAGUUGAAUGUGAAAGCCCCGGGCUCAACCUGGGAACUGCAUCCAAAACUGGCGAGCUAGAGUAGGGCAGAGAGUGGUGGAAUUUCCUGUGUAGCGGUGAAAUGCGUAGAUAUAGGAAGGAACACAAGUGGCGAAGGCGACCACCUGGGCUCAUACUGACACUGAGGUGCGAAAGCGUGGGGAGCAAACAGG